Molecule: ribosomal RNA, 301 nt
Filed under: uncultured bacterium
Lineage: Bacteria
Description: partial 16S ribosomal RNA
Rfam family: Bacterial small subunit ribosomal RNA
Source: RNAcentral
CAGUAGCCGCGGUAAUACGUAGGGUGCAAGCGUUAAUCGGAAUUACUGGGCGUAAAGCGUGCGCAGGCGGUUAUAUAAGACAGAUGUGAAAUCCCCGGGCUCAACCUGGGAACUGCAUUUGUGACUGUAUAGCUAGAGUACGGCAGAGGGGGAUGGAAUUCCGCGUGUAGCAGUGAAAUGCGUAGAUAUGCGGAGGAACACCGAUGGCGAAGGCAAUCCCCUGGGCCUGUACUGACGCUCAUGCACGAAAGCGUGGGGAGCAAACAGGAUUAGAUAUCCCUGUAGUCCCUGUCUCUUAUAC